GACGAACGCUGGCGGCGUGCCUAACACAUGCAAGUCGAGCGAUGAAGUUUCCUUCGGGAAAUGGAUUAGCGGCGGACGGGUGAGUAACACGUGGGUAACCUGCCUCAUAGUGGGGAAUAGCCUUUCGAAAGGAAGAUUAAUACCGCAUAAGAUUGUAGUUUCGCAUGAAACAGCAAUUAAAGGAGCAAUUCGCUAUGAGAUGGACCCGCGGCGCAUUAGCUAGUUGGUGAGGUAACGGCUCACCAAGGCCACGAUGCAUAGCCGAGUUGAGAGACUGAUCGGCCACAUUGGGACUGAGACACGGCCCAA
Molecule: ribosomal RNA, 309 nt
Filed under: uncultured bacterium
Lineage: Bacteria
Description: bacterial SSU rRNA
Rfam family: Bacterial small subunit ribosomal RNA
Source: RNAcentral